GGAGUAAAAGUCGUAACAAGGUUUCCGUAGGUGAACCUGCGGAAGGAUCAUUAUUGUAUAACCGAGGUGCGAGGGCUGUCGCUGACCCGAAAGGUCGUGCACGCCCGAGUGCCCUCACACACAUCCAUCUCACCCCUAUGUGCACCACCGCGUGGGUCCCCCUUUGGCUUGUUCGGAGGGGGGCUUACGUUUUCACACAAACUUUGUAUGCAGUGUAGAGUGUAUUUUUUGUUUUUGCGAUCACGCAAUCAAUACAACUUUCAACAACGGAUCUCUUGGCUCUC
This 284-nucleotide unclassified non-coding RNA is filed under the name plant metagenome. RNAcentral's name for it is "partial contains small subunit ribosomal RNA, internal transcribed spacer 1, and 5.8S ribosomal RNA". The stretch from base 1 to 53 matches the Rfam family "Eukaryotic small subunit ribosomal RNA", at positions 1779 to 1831 of the family's 1831-position model. The record is from RNAcentral.